UACGAAGGGGGCUAGCGUUGUUCGGAUUUACUGGGCGUAAAGCGCACGUAGGCGGAUCGUUAAGUGAGGGGUGAAAUCCCAGGGCUCAACCCUGGAACUGCCUUUCAUACUGGCGAUCUUGAGUCCGGAAGAGGUGAGUGGAACUCCUAGUGUAGAGGUGGAAUUCGUAGAUAUUAGGAAGAACACCAGUGGCGAAGGCGGCUCACUGGUCCGGUACUGACGCUCAUGCACGAAAGCGUGGGGAGCAAAAGGG
This 253-nucleotide ribosomal RNA is filed under the name uncultured bacterium. RNAcentral describes it as "partial 16S ribosomal RNA". It matches the Rfam family "Bacterial small subunit ribosomal RNA", at positions 524 to 776 of the family's 1533-position model. The record is from RNAcentral.